AGCUAGGUGUAUAUAUACUUAGUUAUUUCUGCUCACUGGUAAUCUAAAUAGCCGCAGUACUCUGACUGUGCAAAGGUAGCAUAAUCAUUUGGCUUAUAAUUGAAGUCUGGCAUGAAAGAAACUAUGGGUAAUUACUGUCUCCCUUGGUCACCUUGAACUUCCUUAAAGGGUGAAAAUGCCCUUUGAUAAAUAAUAGACGAGAAGACCCUAGAAAUUUUUUAUACCAUAAGAUAAUCUUAUUUCUAUUUUGUUGGGGCGACAGAAUAACAUUUAACUUGUUUUAUUUAAUAUGAACUAUAUAUUGAGCAAAAAUAAAUUACUCUAGGGAUAACAGCAUAAUUUGAUAAAGUUUGUGACCUCGAUGUUGGACUAGGGAUUUCAUUAACCAGCAGUUAAUGAAACAGGCUCUGUUCGAGCAAUUAUUCCCUACAU
RNAcentral lists this ribosomal RNA (432 nucleotides) under Candidula unifasciata. Its description in RNAcentral is "partial 16S ribosomal RNA". It matches the Rfam family "Bacterial large subunit ribosomal RNA", at positions 1831 to 2601 of the family's 2925-position model. The record is from RNAcentral. Lineage: Eukaryota; Metazoa; Mollusca; Gastropoda; Stylommatophora; Geomitridae.